CAGCCGCCGCGGUAAUACGAAGGGUGCAAGCGUUAAUCGGAAUUACUGGGCGUAAAGCGUGCGUAGGCGGUGAGUUAAGUCUGCUGUGAAAUCCCCGGGCUCAACCUGGGAAUGGCAGUGGAUACUGGCUCGCUAGAGUGUGUCAGAGGAUGGUGGAAUUCCCGGUGUAGCGGUGAAAUGCGUAGAGAUCGGGAGGAACAUCAGUGGCGAAGGCGGCCAACUGGUCCGAUACUGACGCUGAGGUGCGAAAGCGUGGGGAGCAAACAGGAUUAGAGACCCCGGUAGUCCCUGUCUCUUAUAC
This 301-nucleotide ribosomal RNA is filed under the name uncultured bacterium. RNAcentral describes it as "partial 16S ribosomal RNA". It matches the Rfam family "Bacterial small subunit ribosomal RNA", at positions 509 to 807 of the family's 1533-position model. The record is from RNAcentral.